CGCGGCCUAUCAGCUUGUUGGUGAGGUAACGGCUCACCAAGGCGACGACGGGUAGCCGGCCUGAGAGGGCGACCGGCCACACUGGGACUGAGACACGGCCCAGACUCCUACGGGAGGCAGCAGUGGGGAAUAUUGCACAAUGGGCGAAAGCCUGAUGCAGCGACGCCGCGUGAGGGAUGACGGCCUUCGGGUUGUAAACCUCUUUCAGCAGGGAAGAAGCGCAAGUGACGGUACCUGCAGAAGAAGCGCCGGCUAACUACGUGCCAGCAGCCGCGGUAAUACGUAGGGCGCAAGCGUUGUCCGGAAUUAUUAGGCGUAAAGAGCUCGUAGGCGGCUUGUCACGUCGGAUGUGAAAGCCCGAGGCUUAACCUCGGGUCUGCAUUCGAUACGGGCUAGCUAGAGUGUGGUAGGGGAGAUCGGAAUUCCUGGUGUAGCGGUGAAAUGCGCAGAUAUCAGGAGGAACACCGGUGGCGAAGGCGGAUCUCUGGGCCAUUACUGACGCUGAGGAGCGAAAGCGUGGGGAGCGAACAGGAUUAGAUACCCUGGUAGUCCACGCCGUAAACGCUGGAAACUAGGUGUUGGCGACAUUCCACGUCGUCGGUGCCGCAGCUAACGCAUUAAGUUCCCCGCCUGGGGAGUACGG
RNAcentral lists this ribosomal RNA (643 nucleotides) under uncultured Actinomycetes bacterium. RNAcentral's name for it is "bacterial SSU rRNA". It matches the Rfam family "Bacterial small subunit ribosomal RNA", at positions 232 to 885 of the family's 1533-position model. Lineage: Bacteria; Bacillati; Actinomycetota; Actinomycetes. The record is from RNAcentral.